GAUGAACGCUGGCGGCGUGCCUAAUACAUGCAAGUCGAGCGAACAGACGAGGAGCUUGCUCCUAUGACGUUAGCGGCGGACGGGUGAGUAACACGUGGAUAACCUACCUAUAAGACUGGGAUAACUUCGGGAAACCGGAGCUAAUACCGGAUAAUAUAUUGAACCGCAUGGUUCAAUAGUGAAAGACGGUUUUGCUGUCACUUAUAGAUGGAUCCGCGCCGCAUUAGCUAGUUGGUAAGGUAACGGCUUACCAAGGCAACGAUGCGUAGCCGACCUGAGAGGGUGAUCGGCCACACUGGAACUGAGACACGGUCCAGACUCCUACGGGAGGCAGCAGUAGGGAAUCUUCCGCAAUGGGCGAAAGCUUGACGGAGCAACGCCGCGUGAGUGAUGAAGGUCUUCGGAUCGUAAAACUCUGUUAUUAGGGAAGAACAAAUGUGUAAGUAACUAUGCACGUCUUGACGGUACCUAAUCAGAAAGCCACGGCUAACUACGUG
Molecule: ribosomal RNA, 497 nt
Filed under: uncultured bacterium
Lineage: Bacteria
Description: partial 16S ribosomal RNA
Rfam family: Bacterial small subunit ribosomal RNA
Source: RNAcentral